Phascolarctos cinereus (koala) is the source of this 543-nucleotide non-coding RNA. The record is from RefSeq and is a predicted model, not a curated record. Lineage: Eukaryota; Metazoa; Chordata; Mammalia; Diprotodontia; Phascolarctidae.
UUAAAAGCUUGAGCAAGUUUGGAGGAGUUAGUAAAGAAGAGAUCCAGCUAUGGAGGAAGAACUCAGCUCUUAAGAGGGACUCCUCUAACACCUUUUUCUUUCUGCCUUUUCCAAAGUGUAUGUGUAUCGGAUCAUGGUAACACAGGAUUCUUCUCUUCUAUACAUUCCCCACUCUCACUCCCACUGUCAGCACUGGCAUCUUGCAAUACAGCACCUUAAUCAGUAGGAGACAUCAUGCUAAGCAGAAGGCCCAUCCAGACAGUUCGGAGUAGGGUCAGCUUGAACUGUGGCAAACAGCUGACCUAGGGAGUGACAUACCCAGCAGAGACAGGGGAAGCAGAUUGACACCACCAGGAGAAGGAAAAAGAUAUGAGGACGAUGCAACACCAGAGAUGGUUUGAUGAGGAGACCCAUCCACGUGGCCAUCUUUGUGGAUCUGAAGGUGGAAGCUGUUCCUGGCUGUGGCCGUGUACAGGGACUUUUAAAGGGCAGCAGUGUGACAUCAAACAGGAAAACCUCUGCUGUCCACAUCCUCUGUGUUGU